CGGCAGUGAGACUGUGGGGGAUAAGCUCCAUGGUCGAGAGGGAAACAGCCCAGAGCAUCGACUAAGGCCCCUAAGCGUACGCUAAGUGGGAAAGGAUGUGGAGUCGCAGAGACAACCAGGAGGUUGGCUUAGAAGCAGCCACCCUUGAAAGAGUGCGUAAUAGCUCACUGGUCUAGUGAUUCCGCGCCGACAAUGUAGCGGGGCUCAAGCGUACCGCCGAAGUCGUGUCAUUGCAGCAUAAGGGCCAACGCCUGCUGUGAUGGGUAGGGGAGCGUCGUGUGCCGGGUGAAGCAGCCGCGUAAGCGAGUUGUGGACGGUUCACGAGUGAGAAUGCAGGCAUGAGUAGCGAUACAAACGUGAGAAACGUUUGCGCCGAUUGACUAAGGGUUCCUGGGUCAAGCUGAUCUGCCCAGGGUAAGUCGGGACCUAAGGCGAGGCCGACAGGCGUAGUCGAUGGAUAACCGGUUGAUAUUCCGGUACCCGCUGUGAAGCGUCAAACAUCGAGCAUCGUGAUGCUAAGGCCGUGAAGCCGUUCCGGACCCUUCGGGGAAAGGAAAGUGGUGGAGCCGCCGAACCAAGCGGUUAGUAGGUGAGUGAUGGGGUGACGCAGGAAGGUAGUCCAUCCCGGGCGGUGGUUGUCCCGGGGUAAGGGUGUAGCCCGUCAUCUAGGUAAAUCCGGAUGACAUGAGGGUGAGACCUGAUGCCGAGCCGAUUGUGGUGAAGUGGAUGAUCCUAUGCUGUCGAGAAAAGCCUCUAGCGAGUUUCAUGGCGGCCCGUACCCUAAACCGACUCAGGUGGUCAGGUAGAGAAUACCGAGGCGUUCGGGUGAACUAUGGUUAAGGAACUCGGCAAAAUGCCCCCGUAACUUCGGGAGAAGGGGGGCCACGCUUGGUGAGAGGACUUGCUCCUCGAGCUGGGGGUGGCCGCAGAGACCAGCGAGAAGCGACUGUUUACUAAAAACACAGGUCCGUGCGAAGCCGUAAGGCGAUGUAUACGGACUGACGCCUGCCCGGUGCUGGAACGUUAAGGGGACCGGUUAGUCACUCUUCGGGGUGGCGAAGCUGAGAACUUAAGCGCCAGUAAACGGCGGUGGUAACUAUAACCAUCCUAAGGUAGCGAAAUUCCUUGUCGGGUAAGUUCCGACCUGCACGAAUGGCGUAACGACUUCUCGACUGUCUCAACCAUAGGCCCGGUGAAAUUGCACUACGAGUAAAGAUGCUCGUUUCGCGCAGCAGGACGGAAAGACCCCGGGACCUUUACUACAGUUUGAUAUUGGUGUUCGGUUCGGCUUGUGUAGGAUAGCUGGGAGACUUUGAAACUCGCACGCCAGUGUGGGUGGAGUCGUCGUUGAAAUACCAGUCUGGUCGUGCUGGAUGUCUAACCUGGGUCCGUGAUCCGGAUCAGGGACAGUGUCUGAUGGGUAGUUUAACUGGGGCGGUUGCCUCCUAAAGAGUAACGGAGGCGCCCAAAGGUUCCCUCAGCCUGGUUGGCAAUCAGGUGUUGAGUGUAAGUGCACAAGGGAGCUUGACUGUGAGACCGACGGGUCGAGCAGGGACGAAAGUCGGGACUAGUGAUCCGGCGGUGGCUUGUGGAAGCGCCGUCGCUCAACGGAUAAAAGGUACCCCGGGGAUAACAGGCUGAUCUUCCCCAAGAGUCCAUAUCGACGGGAUGGUUUGGCACCUCGAUGUCGGCUCGUCGCAUCCUGGGGCUGGAGUCGGUCCCAAGGGUUGGGCUGUUCGCCCAUUAAAGCGGUACGCGAGCUGGGUUUAGAACGUCGUGAGACAGUUCGGUCCCUAUCCGCUGUGCGCGUAGGAAUAUUGAGAAGGGCUGUCCCUAGUACGAGAGGACCGGGACGGACGAACCUCUGGUGUGCCAGUUGUUCUGCCAAGGGCAUGGCUGGUUGGCUACGUUCGGGAGGGAUAACCGCUGAAAGCAUCUAAGCGGGAAGCCUGCUUCGAGAUGAGUAUUCCCACCUCCUUGAGAGGGUAAGGCUCCCAGUAGACGACUGGGUUGAUAGGCCGGAUAUGGAAGCACGGUAACGUGUGGAGUUGACCGGUACUAAUAGGCCGAGGGCUUGUCCUC
Molecule: ribosomal RNA, 2082 nt
Filed under: Streptomyces violaceus subsp. violarus
Lineage: Bacteria; Bacillati; Actinomycetota; Actinomycetes; Kitasatosporales; Streptomycetaceae
Description: 23S ribosomal RNA
Rfam family: Bacterial large subunit ribosomal RNA
Source: RNAcentral